UAGGGAAUCUUCCACAAUGGACGAAAGUCUGAUGGAGCAACGCCGCGUGAGUGAUGAAGGCUUUAGGGUCGUAAAACUCUGUUGUUGGAGAAGAACGUGUGUGAGAGUAACUGCUCAUGCAGUGACGGUAUCCAACCAGAAAGCCACGGCUAACUACGUGCCAGCAGCCGCGGUAAUACGUAGGUGGCAAGCGUUAUCCGGAUUUAUUGGGCGUAAAGCGAGCGCAGGCGGUCUUUUAAGUCUAAUGUGAAAGCCUUCGGCUUAACCGAAGAAGUGCAUUGGAAACUGGAAGACUUGAGUGCAGAAGAGGACAGUGGAACUCCAUGUGUAGCGGUGAAAUGCGUAGAUAUAUGGAAGAACACCAGUGGCGAAGGCGGCUGUCUGGU
RNAcentral lists this ribosomal RNA (386 nucleotides) under uncultured Acetobacter sp. RNAcentral describes it as "bacterial SSU rRNA". It matches the Rfam family "Bacterial small subunit ribosomal RNA", at positions 355 to 733 of the family's 1533-position model. RNAcentral also lists the same sequence under 1 other name. Lineage: Bacteria; Pseudomonadati; Pseudomonadota; Alphaproteobacteria; Acetobacterales; Acetobacteraceae. The record is from RNAcentral.